UACGUAGGGUGCAAGCGUUGUCCGGAAUUAUUGGGCGUAAAGAGCUCGUAGGCGGUCUGCCGCGUCGGCUGUGAAAUCCCGAGGCUCAACCUCGGGCCUGCAGUCGAUACGGGCAAACUGGAGUGUUGCAGGGGAGACUGGAAUUCCUGGUGUAGCGGUGAAAUGCGCAGAUAUCAGGAGGAACACCGGUGGCGAAGGCGGGUCUCUGGGCCGAUACUGACGCUGAGGAGCGAAAGCGUGGGGAGCGAACAGG
RNAcentral lists this ribosomal RNA (253 nucleotides) under uncultured bacterium. RNAcentral's name for it is "partial 16S ribosomal RNA". It matches the Rfam family "Bacterial small subunit ribosomal RNA", at positions 524 to 776 of the family's 1533-position model. The record is from RNAcentral.